RNAcentral lists this ribosomal RNA (445 nucleotides) under uncultured bacterium. RNAcentral's name for it is "partial 16S ribosomal RNA". It matches the Rfam family "Bacterial small subunit ribosomal RNA", at positions 354 to 796 of the family's 1533-position model. The record is from RNAcentral.
GUGAGGAAUAUUGCGCAAUGGAGGCAACUCUGACGCAGCCAUGCCGCGUGCAGGAAGAAGGCGCUACGCGUUGUAAACUGCUUUUAACCGGGAAGAAACCCCAGGACGUGUCCUGGGUUGACGGUACCGGAGGAAUAAGCACCGGCUAACUUCGUGCCAGCAGCCGCGGUAAUACGAAGGGUGCAAGCGUUAUCCGGAUUAAUUGGGUUUAAAGGGUGCGUAGGCGGAGCGUUAAGUCAGUGGUGAAAUCCUGCAGCUUAACUGUAGACUUGCCAUUGAUACUGGCGCUCUUGAGUGCGCUUGAAGUGGGCGGAAUGUGCCGUGUAGCGGUGAAAUGCUUAGAUAUGGCACAGAACACCAAUUGCGAAGGCAGCUCACUAAGGCGAUACUGACGCUGAGGCACGAAAGCGUGGGGAUCGAACAGGAUUAGAUACCCGUGUAGUCC